AAAAUUAUUAUGGUUUUAUAAAAUAUGGAUGAAAUUUUAAUAAGUUUAUUGAAUCUGUUCCUUCCAAAAACUGAUGUAAGCCCAUAGCAUUAGAUAUUAUAGUUCAGACAACUUUAUUCUAAUUUUGUAUUGUACUUACACAAGUCUUAGAAGUUAAAUACUAUGCCUAAAAUAGAAAUAAAUUAAAUAUUUAUUUACCUUUAUU
Cinara cedri is the source of this 205-nucleotide non-coding RNA. NCBI's taxonomy places the organism in Eukaryota, Metazoa, Arthropoda, Insecta, Hemiptera, Aphididae. The record is from the annotation of a GenBank genome assembly.